Molecule: ribosomal RNA, 397 nt
Filed under: uncultured bacterium
Lineage: Bacteria
Description: bacterial SSU rRNA
Rfam family: Bacterial small subunit ribosomal RNA
Source: RNAcentral
CAUUGCACAAUGGGGGAAACCCUGAUGCAGCGACGCCGCGUGAGCGAAGAAGUAUUUCGGUAUGUAAAGCUCUAUCAGCAGAGAAGAAGAUGACGGUACCUGACUAAGAAGCUCCGGCUAAAUACGUGCCAGCAGACGCGGUAAUACGUAUGGAGCAAGCGUUAUCCGGAUUUACUGGGUGUAAAGGGAACGGAGGCGGCCUGGCCAGUCUGGUGUGAAAUACCGGGGCCCAACCCCGGGACUGCAUUGGAAGCUGCCAGGCUGGAGUGUCGGAGGGGCAGGCGGAAUUCCUAGUGUAGCGGUGAAAUGCGUAGAUAUUAGGAGGAACACCGGUGGCGAAGGCGGCCUGCUGGACGACAACUGACGCUGAGGCUCGAAAGCGUGGGGAGCAAACAGG